GUCAAAGUCGAAUGUGCUGAAUAUGCUCAUAUUUUUGCGCAAAUGAAAGAGAAAAGAAUGUGAAGUCCUGCAGCUCUGUGCUAAGAACUCUGGGUUCAUGGAAAAGUUGGAAAAUGUCGAGCUCAACUUGGAACAAGGACAGUAAACAAGGACUUUUAUUUAGGAUAUUCAAAGGAGAAUAAUGGCCAAUUCUUUUGGAAAGGAUAUGCCUGAAUCGUAAAUAGAAAUUUACGAGUUAAUUUUCUGUUGCUCCAUGUCACCUAUUUAGGGUUAAUCAUUUGGGGGGAGGAGAUGUUAGUUAAUCAUAUCUCACUUUUCAGGUAAAGAUUGAUGUUGACUAACAAGUUAUCACAUCUUCACAUGUGCUAACAUUAUCUAGCCUUCUAUAACAGAAUAGGGGUUAAAGAGAAUGGAUCUGACAGUUAGCAUGAUGAUGCAACCUACCAACCUUUACCUUUUGCUGAGUUCUUUUGAUAGCAAACAAUUCAAUCUCAUUUAUCGGCUUUCUGCAGGCAAAAGUUGUCGACGAUAUUCCGAAAUGCAAGUAUAAACGGGGAAGUCUUUACUUAAUAUUUCUAUUUUUUUUUUUUUAUCUAAUCAGUUUCUUUUUCUUUUGGUCUGUCAUUGGAGUUUUGCAAUUGCCCGUCGUUGCCGAGAUAAUCAACUGGGGUAAGCUAUGCCUAUAGUACCAACUAGCACUUCGCACGGGACAAGGCUCCACUCAGCAACAGACGUCUUUUCCAUACGUACUGAACAAGGUGAAUAACAUUGGAAUGCUUUCGAAACACGUGUUAUUGAGCAUAAUGUCCUCAUCGUGGCCAAACACUACAGCCUUGUGAUGAUCAAUGGAUGGCCGCCCACUAUGACUACUUUGUCAACGAAGCAGAAGAAUUUCAAUCCAAUUUAAUGUGCUGAAGGACUGACCUACCCUGUAAAUUAAAAAAAAAAUAUGUUAUCAAGGAUGAACACUUGGUAAAUCUGGCUUAACAAUUCGAAUAAGAUUGCACCACAUCUGGAAUUUAGCUUUGUGUAAUAGGUUGAACAUAUCAGCAGCCGUACAUUUAUUGCAAAUAUUGUUGGAAAUGUUAUGUAUUGAUGUGAUUAAUGCUUUUUUACAGAUAGGCCAGAAUAACAGAUUGAACUGGGGAUUGGAGUGUGGGAGAAUUAAAUAU
Long non-coding RNA from Daphnia carinata, 1172 nucleotides. RefSeq lists it as uncharacterized. The transcript has 3 exons. Lineage: Eukaryota; Metazoa; Arthropoda; Branchiopoda; Diplostraca; Daphniidae. The record is from RefSeq and is a predicted model, not a curated record.